UUUCCAGUCUUCAGUAUUUUCUCUGCCUCUUGCAGUUCUUUUAGAGCAGCUUUGUGGCUGUUUUUCAUAGCAACCUGACUUGGCAGUAAAUCCAUCAUGUUGCUCUUCAUGUUGCAUCCUGGGAAUAAAAGACAAUCUUAUAUUAGUAUAUUAAGGGAAGGCAGAGUGAAGCAUUUGGCACUUACUCUUUGUAGAUCAUUCUGGAAAAGUGUAUAGUGUGUGUUUAUUCUCUUUUUCCAUAUUUAUACUUAAAUGAAGUGUUCAUUUUUCAAAAGAAUAAAAAAUAUUGAUAUUUCAAGCAUUUUUUUUUUUAGCUGUAGUCGUUUAUGGAUUUUGCAAUGUGUAUCGUUAGCCUGUUGAUUAACUAAUGAAUGAAUUAAUGUGAAUAAUUACUGUUAGAAUGAACUGUAACGCACCUCUCUGAAACAGAAACCUGCAGCACUCAGCGUGGUCUUCUGAAGCCGCCAAGUGCAAGGCUGUGUUUCCGUGCUUGUCCGUCACGUUUAAAUCAGCAGAGUACGCCGACAACAAUCUCAGCACCUGAAAUAAUCAUACAACGUUAAUAACAUCUCCAGGCUAACCGGAGACAUUAAGCAUUAACGUUGAGUUUAGACUAACCGGAUCAGCGACAUCCACAUCGGCUCCCCUCUCCAAAAGCAACAUGCAGAGGUUCUCACACUCUUUGGCCUGUUCACAGGCGGCCAUGAAGACAGAUUUGCCUGUGUAGGAGGUCGGCUUGAUGAUGGAUCAGAAACUUUACCAUGUCGACAUGGCCAUGCUUUGCAGCAUACAUUAUUGGGGUGCGUCCCUUUUUGUCCUGGAUAUCAGGAUGUGCAUUGAGGGACAGAAGGAAAUGAGCCAUCUCCACAUCAUUGUUCCGAGAGGCCAGGUGCAGGGCGCUGACCCCAUCUUCAGGCUCGGUCAGGUUGAUCAGACCUGAGACACCCAAGCGCACCAGCUUCUCUAUCUGCUCCUUCUUCUUGUGGUUCACCAGCUGAAGCAGUUUGUAAACCUGCUUGAUCUCCAAAGGACUUUCUGCUACGACGUUCCUCCUCAUCAGCACUGUCUGGGGAGUGCGCAGUCUCCCAGUAUCCUGUGUCUCACAAAUCUCAGACAUUUCUCCACCUGAAGAAAAAAAGGGUCACGUGAUACUUUAGUAGGCCUCGUUCCAGCCUAGGAUGGUCUGACAAAAAUAUGAAACAGAUUCACCUGACCAAAUCUAUUCAGUCUGCUGCACUGAUUAUCUGAAGGUGUUGAAUGUUAACAUGGUGUUCAUUUUGGUGUGAAAGAGUCACGACGUGUUGAUAAAGAUCAUGUCCGUUACUACAUGAAAAGUCUGUUUUUGGAAAAGUUCAACUCGAAUAAGUUUGGCGAAAAGCCUCUUAAAUCAUCGUUUCUAGCUCUGAAUCCGACCUCAGCACACAACAGUCUUUAUUUCACUCAAAGCUUUUCUUAUAUCUUUACUAAUAAUGCCGGAGAAACGGCUUGAUUUAAAGCCGCUUACAACAAGAAAAAAACACGUAGCCGAGGCUAUCCUUCUGAAAUGAACGAUAAUACUACUAACAAUAAUAUUAAUAUUAAUAAUAAUAAGCAAAACAAUAAUAAAACUCACCUUGUAAAAUA
Molecule: long non-coding RNA, 1623 nt
Organism: Hemibagrus wyckioides
Lineage: Eukaryota; Metazoa; Chordata; Actinopteri; Siluriformes; Bagridae
Exons: 3
Source: RefSeq, a predicted model, not a curated record